Molecule: transfer RNA, 61 nt
Filed under: Notomastus sp. GK-2021
Lineage: Eukaryota; Metazoa; Annelida; Polychaeta; Capitellidae
Description: tRNA-Leu
Source: RNAcentral
AGAGUGAUGGCAGAUUAUGCACCAGAUUUAAGCCCUGGCCAAGGCCUUACGCCUCACUCUA